This 119-nucleotide ribosomal RNA is filed under the name Pteropus vampyrus (large flying fox). Lineage: Eukaryota; Metazoa; Chordata; Mammalia; Chiroptera; Pteropodidae. The record is from RNAcentral.
GUUUAUGGCCAUGCUGCCCUGAACAAGCCUGACCCCAUCCAAUUUCGGAAGCUAAACAGAGUUGAGUUUGGUUAGAACUUGGAUGGGAGACUGCCUAGAAAGACCAGAUGCUGUAGGCG